Molecule: ribosomal RNA, 1420 nt
Filed under: uncultured bacterium
Lineage: Bacteria
Description: bacterial SSU rRNA
Rfam family: Bacterial small subunit ribosomal RNA
Source: RNAcentral
AACGCUGGCGGCGUGCCUAACACAUGCAAGUCGAACGCGAAAGCCCCGCAAGGGGUAAGUAGAGUGGCGAACGGGUGAGUAACACGUGGGUGACCUACCUUCGAGUGGGGGAUAACGUCCCGAAAGGGACGCUAAUACCGCAUAACAUCCUGCUCUUGAACGAGUGGAGAUCAAAGCCGGACGGUAUGCGACCUGGCGUUUGAAGAGGGGCCCGCGUCUGAUUAGCUAGUUGGUGAGGUAACGGCCCACCAAGGCGACGAUCAGUAUCCGGCCUGAGAGGGCGGACGGACACACUGGGACUGAGACACGGCCCAGAUAUGAGUACGGGAGGCAGCAAUUCAGAAUUGUUCGCAAUGGGCGCAAGCCUGACGACGCAACGCCGCGUGGAGGAUGAAGGUCUUCGGAUUGUAAACUCCUGUUGCCCGGGACGAAAAGUCUCGACCUAACACGUCGAGAUCUGACGGUACCGGGUGAGGAAGCCCCGGCUAACUCUGUGCCAGCAGCCGCGGUAAUACAGAGAUUAAUGCAAGCGUUGUUCGGAAUUACUGGGCGUAAAGGGCGCGUAGGCGGCCUUCUAAGUCGAACGUGAAUUAAUCGGGCUCAACCCGGGAACUGCGUCCGAUACUUAUUGGCUUGAAUCCGGGAGAGGGAUGCGGAAUUCCAGGUGUAGCGAUCAAAUGCGUAGAUAUCUGGAGGAACACCGGUGGGCGAAGGCGGCAUCCUGGACCGGUAUUGACGCUGAGGCGCGAAAGCCAGGGGAGCAAACGGGAUUAGAUACCCCGGUAGUCCUGGCCCUAAACGAUGAAUGCUUGAUUAGGAGUAUCGAUCCCUGCCGUGCCGAAGCUAACGCAUUAAGCAUUCCGCCUGGGGAGUACGGUCGCAAGGCUGAAACUCAAAGGAAUUGACGGGGGCCCGCACAAGCGGUGGAGCAUGUGGUUCAAUUCGACAUUAGAGCGCGAAGAACCUUACCCAGGCUUGAACUGCGAGCGACAACCUACGAAAGUAGGCUUCCGCAAGGACGCUCGUAUAUGGCGUGCUGCAUGGCUGUAUAUAGCUCGUGUCGUAUUACCAGGGUUGGGUUAAGUCCCGCAACGAGCGCAACCCUUGUCUUCUGUUGCCAUCGGGUUAUGCCGGGCACUCUGAAGAGACUGCCGGUGACAAACCGGAGGAAGGUGGGGAUGACGUCAAGUCAGCAUGGCCUUUAUAGAUGGGCCACACACGUCAGUUAUGACAAUGGCCGGUACCAGUGCAAACUCGCGAGGGUGAGCUAAUCGGAGAAAGCCGGUCUCAGUUCGGACCAGAGGGCUGCAACUCGCCUGCAUGAAGUUGGAAUCGCUAGUAAUCGCGGAUCAGCACGCCGCGGUGAAUACGUUCCCGGGCCUUGUACACACCGCCCGUCACAUCACUAUAUAUUGGGGUG